AUGUCCGUUACUUUGUAUUCAUUCUUCACUGUCGCAGCCUUCAUAACUGGAGUCAGUGGUGCAGACUCGAUCUCCCAGGAGCCGGUUUCAGUGAUGAAAUUUCAAGAUGAUGUGGUGACCAUUAUUUGCAGUUAUUCGACCACUGCUAGCACAUAUUCUUUGCAACUAUAUCGUCAGGAUCACGACAAAAGCCUGACAUUCUUGAUCUUAAUCCUUAACUAUGGCGAUGCUACCAGAGCUCAGGGUGUGGGGCCUCGAUUUUCUGUGAAUAUUGACAGUGUGAAAAGUGAAGGGAAUUUCACCAUCCGUGAUCUGCAACUGUCUGACAAUGCAGUGUAUUACUGCGGAGUGACAGACGCAGUGACAGAGACCAGAGGGAGCCUCGUACAAGAACAACAUCAUUGGGGCAAGAUGAACAACUAA
Stegostoma tigrinum is the source of this 423-nucleotide non-coding RNA. The record is from the annotation of a RefSeq genome assembly. NCBI's taxonomy places the organism in Eukaryota, Metazoa, Chordata, Chondrichthyes, Orectolobiformes, Stegostomatidae.